Chroicocephalus ridibundus (black-headed gull) is the source of this 1678-nucleotide long non-coding RNA. RefSeq lists it as uncharacterized. Lineage: Eukaryota; Metazoa; Chordata; Aves; Charadriiformes; Laridae. The transcript is spliced from 3 exons. The record is from RefSeq and is a predicted model, not a curated record.
CCUUGGUUUUUUAACCAUCAUAGACACAGAAAAAACAGCUCUGGGCCCCAAAACCGCCUCAGUUCAAGACCAGCUUGGUCCUGGGGCCACCUACUGCUGCUACAGGAAUACUGCUUAGAUGGAGUGGUUUUUUGAACAAAUAUUAAAAGCUAUGAAGAAAUUACAUGCUAUAAUUUCAUAAAAGGGGAGACAAGCAGAAAUGACAAGAAAGGAGAGCUUUUCCACUUUUGAAGAUUAUUGCAAUAAAGACAUUUUCAGAGGAGGAAGCGCAUGCUCCCAACAUACAUCAUCAGAAGUAUAUAUUUUUAGACAAUAUAAAGAUUUCUCAAACAUAAAAGGAGCUGAUGGCAAUCAAAGCCGUAUUGUAGGGGCUACUGUUGCUGGGGCCACGCGGUUGCCUUCUGAUUUCAUUUUUGAUUGAUUUUUCUCCUCCACUUUAAUACUAUGCUAGUACUACACAAAAGUAAGCGCAUAAUAGUCCACAAUCUUCUCCUCAGCACUAUUAACAGCCUACUAUCAGCCACCCUGAGAGGGCUUAUCAAGAAAGCAAGCAACAGAGGGAAAGGAGAAGAAAAUUUAACUAAAAGACUGUGUUACCAGAUACUAGUUUUAUGAACAAUAUAACAAUCUGAAUACUCCAGUGAUUGGAAAAUGUAAUCAUAAAACAUGUGCAGAGCAGUAUGAGCUGCUUUCUUGGAGACACGACAGAAACAGCAGGUCCUGAAGAAAAGUCAAUGACUGAAAUUCCACUUUUGAGCAAUCUUUCCUUCUUACAUUGCCCAUUCGCAGGAAAGAGAAAAGCUAGUGGGAGAUUCAAAUAUUGGAGACUACUGUUCCUCUCUGCCAUCCUCUCUGGACAACAAGGUUGUCACAUUAUCCAUACCAUCCCAGAACAUGAGAGACACUUUUAUGCACCCUCCUACCUCUUCAUGAAAUGACAACAUUUGUGCACAAUUGCCAUAUGCAGAACACAAACCCAAAAGAAGCAGCACGAGGGCCGUUUAUGCUGCGACGUGUGAAGUACUCCCACUGCCUCUACCACCCUUGAAUGCCGACCUCCACUAACAGCAGCUUGUCUUCUCAUCCAUCUAGACUGGAAGCACUCAGAGCACGGCUGAGAUCUUGGAAGAAUUACCACCCAAAAAAGCCUUUUUCCAUUAACUUCAGUGCAACCAGGAUUCACCUCCAGUCUGCGCUGAAACAUUAAUCAGUGCUCGUAAACUUUAAUUAAAACUGCUUCUCUCUCUGGGCCUGUGUUCAACACUUUUUUCACUGCUCAUUUGCUCUACAAACAGAUGACUCUAGGCUUCUGUAAAAACCAAAAGGUUUUAUGACAUAGUAAAACAUUUCUGGUUAUGUUCUACUGAACUGUUUACCUGUUCUCCCCAAAUAUUUUAUUUCUAUAUCCUGCUAAUACAGGAGAAUAUUAUUUUUUUCUUUUGAGAUUUUUCAGAUGAAGAGGUUUUGUCAAAUUUCAGAUGAAACAGGUGAACUGCAACUAUACAUCUAAGAUAGGCCUAUCAUUUAGUAUUACCAACUUUUUAAUAGUUAUGUAACUAAUCAAGUGGAUGGAGAUAUACAGACUUUAUUUCCAGCUGUUUUCAGUACAUUUCCAAGUCGUGUAAGACCAUCUACUGCUAUCAAAGAGCAAGUUAACAAAGCUAAUAAAGAGGCCUUG